UGAGGAAUAUUGGACAAUGGGCUCACGCCUGAUCCAGCCAUGCCGCGUGCGGGAAGAAGGCCCUACGGGUCGUAAACCGCUUUUACACGGGAAGAACAAGGGAUACGCGUAUCCCCUUGACGGUACCGUGGGAAUAAGGACCGGCUAACUCCGUGCCAGCAGCCGCGGUAAUACGGAGGGUCCGAGCGUUAUCCGGAAUCAUUGGGUUUAAAGGGUCCGCAGGCGGGCCGUUAAGUCAGGGGUGAAAGCCCGCGGCUCAACCGCGGGACUGCCCUUGAUACUGGCGGCCUUGAAUCGUACCGGAGUGGGCGGAACAUGUAGUGUAGCGGUGAAAUGCAUAGAUAUUACAUAGAACACCGAUCGCGAAGGCAGCUCACUAGGUAUGCAUUGACGCUGAGGGACGAAAGCGUGGGGAGCGAACGGGAUUAGAUACCCCCGUAGUCC
Molecule: ribosomal RNA, 444 nt
Filed under: uncultured prokaryote
Description: bacterial SSU rRNA
Rfam family: Bacterial small subunit ribosomal RNA
Source: RNAcentral